CCUACGGGAGGCAGCAGUGAGGAAUAUUGGUCAAUGGACGAGAGUCUGAACCAGCCAAGUAGCGUGAAGGAUGACUGCCCUAUGGGUUGUAAACUUCUUUUAUAUGGGAAUAAAACGUUCCACGUGUGGGAUUUUGUAUGUACCAUAUGAAUAAGGAUCGGCUAACUCCGUGCCAGCAGCCGCGGUAAUACGGAGGAUCCGAGCGUUAUCCGGAUUUAUUGGGUUUAAAGGGAGCGUAGGUUGAUUGUUAAGUCAGUUGUGAAAGUUUGCGGCUCAACCGUAAAAUUGCAGUUGAAACUGGCAGUCUUGAGUACAGUAGAGGUGGGCGGAAUUCGUGGUGUAGCGGUGAAAUGCUUAGAUAUCACGAAGAACUCCGAUUGCGAAGGCAGUUCACUGGACUGCAACUGACACUGAGGCUCGAAAGUGUGGGUAUCAAACAGGAUUAGAUACCCCUGUAGUC
Molecule: ribosomal RNA, 460 nt
Filed under: uncultured bacterium
Lineage: Bacteria
Description: partial 16S ribosomal RNA
Rfam family: Bacterial small subunit ribosomal RNA
Source: RNAcentral